CAGAAGGAACAACAUGAAAAACAAUUUAUGUUUAUGUUUAUAUUAAUGCACUUGUAAUUGGUAAUAAAUUAUUGUUUUUAUAGUCAGGAAAGGUUUUUCUGUGAAUGUGUUUAUUUAACGUCUAUUGAAUGUGUCUCCAGUGUCAACACUUUGUAAUAGUCAGAGGAAGUGGCUAACUAAAUCUUCUGGACAGAGCAGAAUAUGCUUUGUGAUUUCUUAGUAACAUAACACUUUUUUUUUUUUGUCUUUUUAACUUUCACAGAAAGAAGAUGGGGAGUGACAUCUCUUUUUUGUUUACAGCUGCUAAAAUACCGUUUAACACUCACCUCAUCUUCUUCAUCCUCCCCUUCAUCCCCUGAUUCCAGCUCCUCUUUGGGUGUGUCCUCUGAUCAAAGCAAGCAGAGAGGGGAUGUAACAUACUGAGGAACAGCAAAGCAGAGGCACCCUGAACUGAGAUCAGUUUGAAGUGGUGAAGAACACAGAAGUCGGCCUUUCAUGUGGAACGUUCACUUAAACCCGAUGACACAGAUGGAUUUUAUUGCUGAAUUACACACACACUUAAUUCCUACCUACAGCACUGUAUGAGCUGUAAUUUAAGUUCAGAAAUGAUAUUGGAAUUGCUGGAAAGUUCUACAACACGAUGUCCUACGGUUUCAUAUUUAGGCCUCUGUUUUACUGGACGUGUUUUAAAGUCGAUGAGAAGAAGGUCCUUUAUUCAGCUACUAAUUAAUUCACCUCAAUACACCUUUAUAAUUUAUACACCGUUAUUCAGCUAA
Long non-coding RNA from Tachysurus vachellii, 776 nucleotides. RefSeq lists it as uncharacterized. The transcript is spliced from 3 exons. Lineage: Eukaryota; Metazoa; Chordata; Actinopteri; Siluriformes; Bagridae. The record is from RefSeq and is a predicted model, not a curated record.